UUUUAUUUGAUAUUAUCAAUAAUAAAAUCUGCUCAAUGAAUAUUAAAUUGCCGCAAUAUUGUGCUAAGGUAGCAUAAUAAUUUGUCUUUUAAAUAAAGACUAGAAUGAAAGAUUAAACAUUUUAAAUUAUAUCUAUAAUAUAAAUAAUAUAAAUUAUUAUAAAUGUAAAAAACCAUUUAUUAAAAAGAAAGACGACAAGACCCUAUCGAACUUAACUAAAGUUAGACUGGGGCAGUUAAUUAAUAAUUAUUUUAAUUUUCCUUAUCCUAUGAUCUAAAAUUUUUAAUUAAAAAAUCAAGUUACCGUAGGGAUAACAGCGUAAUAUUAUUCCAAAGAUCUUAUAAAAAAUAAAGAUUACGACCUCGAUGUUGAAUAAUAACCUUAUUAAUGUAAAAAUUAUAUCAUACUACAAAGGAAGUCUGUUCGACUUUUAAAUAAUUACA
This 443-nucleotide ribosomal RNA is filed under the name Castoponera ciliata. Its description in RNAcentral is "partial 16S ribosomal RNA". The record is from RNAcentral. Lineage: Eukaryota; Metazoa; Arthropoda; Arachnida; Araneae; Corinnidae.